This 253-nucleotide ribosomal RNA is filed under the name uncultured bacterium. Its description in RNAcentral is "partial 16S ribosomal RNA". It matches the Rfam family "Bacterial small subunit ribosomal RNA", at positions 524 to 776 of the family's 1533-position model. The record is from RNAcentral. RNAcentral also lists the same sequence under 1 other name.
UACGGAGGGUGCAAGCGUUAUCCGGAUUCACUGGGUUUAAAGGGUGCGUAGGUGGGUUGGUAAGUCAGUGGUGAAAUCUCCGAGCUUAACUUGGAAACUGCCAUUGAUACUAUCAGUCUUGAAUAUUGUGGAGGUUAGCGGAAUAUGUCAUGUAGCGGUGAAAUGCUUAGAUAUGACAUAGAACACCAAUUGCGAAGGCAGCUGGCUACGCAUAUAUUGACACUGAGGCACGAAAGCGUGGGGAUCAAACAGG